UACGUAGGGGGCUAGCGUUGUCCGGAAUCAUUGGGCGUAAAGAGCGUGUAGGCGGCCCGGUAAGUCCGCUGUAAAAGUCAAAGGCUCAACCUUUGAAUGUCAGCGGAUACUGCCAGGCUAGAGUCCGGAAGAGGCGAGUGGAACUCCUGGUGUAGCGGUGGAAUGCGUAGAGAUCCGGAAGAACACCGGAGGCGAAGGCGGCUUGCUGGGCGUGAUCUGACGCUGAGGCGCGAAAGCGUGGGGAGCGAACAGG
RNAcentral lists this ribosomal RNA (253 nucleotides) under uncultured bacterium. Its description in RNAcentral is "partial 16S ribosomal RNA". It matches the Rfam family "Bacterial small subunit ribosomal RNA", at positions 524 to 776 of the family's 1533-position model. The record is from RNAcentral.